CCUGAGAAACCCAAAAGAUCGAAUGGGGAGAUUCAUCGUUCAGCUGCGUUGGCUUCCGUGCGACACGCGAUGACGGGGACCUCGGUCUCGCGUCACGCUGCCGCUGCGGCAUGUCCGGCGCAGUCGGCGUGCACUUCUCCCCUAGUAGGACGUCGCGACCCGUUGGGUGUCGGACCAAUGGCCGGUCGGUCGUCUGUCGCGCUUGCUCUGCAUUGCGCGGCAGACCGUCCGGUCGAACGUCCGACUGCCCGGCGGUAUCGAACGUUGAAAACUGGUACUGGGCCGCAUUCAGUGCGUUCCUGGCUCGUCGGCAGGCUCGUCUCGCUCGGAUUUACGGACCUAGCGCCGUUGCCGGGUGCUUGACGCGGCCGUUAGUCGGCGAUGUCCUCGGACUGGCUCUUACCGGUCGGCACGCUACUGCUUUGGGUACUUUC
RNAcentral lists this ribosomal RNA (434 nucleotides) under Zagrammosoma multilineatum. Its description in RNAcentral is "eukaryotic LSU rRNA". Lineage: Eukaryota; Metazoa; Arthropoda; Insecta; Hymenoptera; Eulophidae. The record is from RNAcentral.